CCUCGUUUUUUUUUCGUUUCUCUCGUUUUUUUUUUUUUUUUUACCAGGAGUGGCGUCCAGCGCCGCGAGUAAGCGGAACAAGAGGGUGGUCGCGGGGGUGCGUGGAACGUCCAUUUAUCCCCCGUUUUGUCGAGCAGCCUAGCCUCUAGAAUACGGCUUUAUUUACCGGGAGUUUGCGUUUUUCCAGGACGUUGCGUCUCUCUGGUCUCUGGUCCUGAUCGCGGCCCACGCCGCGCGUGGAAAACGUGUUUAUUAUGCGAUCUGGCCAGCGCUGACUUACACGUCCACGGCAUUGUCGAUGCCGAAGUGGUUGGAGGGUCGGUGAAAGUGGAAUGUGUGUUUCGGAAAGGAAUUAUCGAAGACAAGAUGCGAGACAGAUAACUUUAGCGUACGAUGGAAAGAAUUGUUUACGUUUCUCUUUUUGUUUUCACGCUAGCACUACUGCAUACC
This 450-nucleotide unclassified non-coding RNA is filed under the name Bombus terrestris (buff-tailed bumblebee). RNAcentral describes it as "misc RNA ENSBTSG00005037773.1". Lineage: Eukaryota; Metazoa; Arthropoda; Insecta; Hymenoptera; Apidae. The record is from RNAcentral.